Molecule: ribosomal RNA, 403 nt
Filed under: uncultured bacterium
Lineage: Bacteria
Description: bacterial SSU rRNA
Rfam family: Bacterial small subunit ribosomal RNA
Source: RNAcentral
AACGAACGCUGGCGGCGUGGAUAAGACAUGCAAGUCGAACGCGUAAUUUUCUUUCUAGCAAUAGUUGGAAAGUUUGAGUGGCGAAAGGGUGCGUAACACGUGGGCAAUCUACCUUCAUGUGGGGGAUAACCCCGAGAAAUCGGGGCUAAUACCGCAUGUGGUUGAGGGUCUUAUGACCUGAAAACCAAAGCUGGGGAUCGCAAGACCUGGCGCAAGAAGUGGAGCCCGCGGCCUAUCAGCUAGUUGGUGAGGUAACGGCUCACCAAGGCUUACGGGUAGCUGGUCUGAGAGGACGACCAGCCACACUGGGACUGAGACACGGCCCAGACACCUACGGGUGGCAGCAGUCGAGUAAUUUUUCUCAAUGGGGGAAACCCUGAAGGAGCGACGCCGCGGUGGGGAU